CUGGAAGACUGAAAGAUGAUUGUUCAAGAGCACAGGCAGCCUUCAGUGGACAAUCAGAAUGUGCCUACAGCUGGAGAAACUCACUGGCAUGACGCCUUUGUUGCUCAUAAAUCUGAUUUCACAGAACUUGAAAAGAAGUGUGGUAAUACACGAUCCAAAGCUACUCGCAAGAAGCAUCUGGAAAAAAGCUCUUUUCUUCUGGAUGGGCUCCUGAUACAUAUUUGCAGAAAGCAAAUGAUGUACUGAACCAUGUGCUGUGACUGUCAACACUUUCAACAGUAUGAACUAUUUAUGUUUUUGUUUAGAACUGAUAGUGGUCAUUUAUUUUAAAUUUCUCCUAUGUGUUAUUGUAUUAAUAAGAAGUGAUUAUAUCUCUUCAGAAAAAGGGAAACACACACUGUUUUGCUUUUUUGGGGCAAGUCUGCUUUAUAUUAUGGUCAUCCAAAAUACUUAAGUAGCCCUGAAGACUUUGUUGUCCAUUGUUAUUCAUAAGAUAGAUGAGACUAAAAGAAGGAAUAAUACAGUUGAAAUACCAUAUGAGUUAACUGGCUAUUUUAUAAGUGAGAGUUUAUUGUCAUGCUUUGUGCUUCCUUUCAAUAUCUUGCUACUUUACUAGGUAGUGUUCUUUUCUCUGAUCAGUUUUUGGUAUGGUAUGAUUUGUGGCGACUGAGGAGAACACUAGUAAAUAAUCCUUAAAAAUGUGAUGCAGGAACUCUCAAAUAUUUUGUACAUUCAAUUCUGCUAUGAAAUUUACAUCUAAUAUCCUAUACGUGUCACAAAUCAAGAUACGUUAUUGUGUGUGAGAAGGAAGGAAUCUGAAUGGUAUAUAACUUGUGGAUUAUCAUUAUCUCAAUCUUAAAGGCUGAUUCAUAAGGAUUCAUAUCUUGUGAUAUAGCUAGUCAAAUGAGUCUUGUCUUAAAGCAGGAAACUUGUAUUCUGAGUGUUUUUUAUUUUUAUUUUUUAAAUUCCUUUUACAUACCUUUGUUAAAAAUGGAGAAGCAAGGGCUCUGUGGUUCUAUAUACAAAACAAAUGUUCCCUACAUGUCUGUGGGGAGAAAACAGCCACAUCUGUACAAUGGGACUGAGAGGUCAUUGCCAAGCUUUGGGUCACAGCAUUAAUACAGGUAUAGUAGCAGGUCUAUGUCCAUAUACAUUUCUCAGCAGGGUCCCAUCUCCCUCUAAGGAAAAAAUUACAUGCCCUUGCCCUUCUGUAAGGAGAAAACAAAGCAAAUAAUUUGGAUUCCUGAGGGAAUCAUGACUGUAAAGCAUGCUACAAACUGCACUUGCUCCACAAUAGACCCGACAGAUAUCAGCCAAGGUCAAUAUAUGAAUACAAACAUUUUUGCUUUUCUGUCUCCUCAUCAAGAAGCAGAUUGAAGCCAUAAUUCCUAGCUUUUAUAUAGUGUUUCUCUUCACUUUUUUUUUUUUUUUUGUCAUUGCUCUUCUACCCAUUUAAAACCUUUCAUCAUAAAUGUCACAGCUAUUAUGUAUUGCAGACAAAAUGGAUGAAUGUGAAGAAAUGUUCAUACCUCUCUAAUACUAUGACUUUUCAAUGUACUCUUUUGGGACAGUGUGCUUUAGAGGGAAGAGCAGAAUGAUGGGGCUCUGUCCCUGUUUCAGUUAAGUUAAUAACUGGGAUGAAAAUGGACCCUAUGUUUCUAAAGUUUUCCUUUCUCUUUAACAAUUCUUCUUUAACACUUCUUUUACCUACUGGCAGGUUAGCAACAAAAUUGCCCCAAUGGCAGAUGUAAUCCCUUGAUACUGUGAUUUUGGAAAUGGACACUCCUUGUGUGUUUGGGUUAUAUUUCUUUCCCUUUUAUUUACGAAUUGCAGAGUCCUUGGGAAAAAAAAAAAAAAAAAAAAAAAAAGAUGAAACAGAACAGGAUGGAAAUCACCUUGCCCUGGUAUCUCACAAUCUUUUUUUUUCCUUACAAAGGCAUAGAGUAGAUCAUAGCUGAUAUCUCUCAGCUGUGUGUUGUUUUGGUCUGUUAUACAUCUGUUGAAAAGUGAUAAUUUUCUUUUACAGAGAUUUAAACUACCUCUCCACAGAUGUAUUUCAACAGUUCAGAAUCCCUUGAAGUAUGAAGACAUCUUUUCUAACUAACAAAUUUGAGUAUUUUUCCAACUCCCGUGUGUUUUUUUGUUUUGUUGUAGGUUUUUUGUAUUGUUUUGUUUUGUUUUGUUAGGCAAAGUAACUUUUGGACAUACUGUAUUUCGUUUUUUUCAAUAGAAUUGAAACUGCUGUGGUGAUGUCCCCAGAUUGAGUCAGCAGUAAGGAUGAGUAGAAAUUCACAACAGGCCCACAAACCCACAUACAUACAAUGUAUAUACAUAGAUACGCUUCUGGCCACACAGAUCAAUACAAACAUAAAACAGCACACAUACAAACAUAGACAGCACCAAUGGCCUUAUACUGAUUCCCUCCUGGCUUUCUGUAAUCUGUAAAUUCUCUUUUCCUAUAAGAGAGCACUCUUGUAUUCUCCAACAAUCCACUUAGAACACUUCAAAUCAAGUUCUACAUGAUCCCCAAAUUCUUUUGCCUGGUAUCCCAUAAUAAAUCCUGUCUGUCUUUAGGCA
Molecule: long non-coding RNA, 2577 nt
Filed under: Anas platyrhynchos platyrhynchos (common mallard)
Lineage: Eukaryota; Metazoa; Chordata; Aves; Anseriformes; Anatidae
Description: lncRNA (ENSAPLG00000031178.1)
Source: RNAcentral